CCCCGCGCCCGCGGAGCCCCGGCUCCCGCCUGCCCAGCCCCCUCCCGGGGAGCGAGCCGGGACCCAGGGGUGGGAGCAGAGUCGGGGCUUUGUGGCGCCGGGGGCCGAGGAAGAAUGAAACGUGCAGUUGGGAGUGUUGCUCGCGUCCCAGGGAGCAGCGCAGGCCCGAUUGUCUGCCGCCGAGAUGGCCUUUUGUUCGGAGCAUAAGGUUUAAGAAACACACACACGUUUUCUGGGGUCUCUUGUUGGAUGUAAAUGUGCCGCAUCCAGACGCUCGCGGNNNNNNNNNNNNNNNNNNNNNNNNNCGCCCCGCCCCGCCCCGCCCCGCCCCGGCGACCGGGACCGUUGGGACGCGGACCUCACCCAGACUUCUGGGCCGCCGGCACUGCCUUCGCCCCGUUUCACUCCAGACUAGCCAAGCAUCCCACGGAGAUGAUAAAGCAAACAAUAACAUCUGAUCAUGACGUCCACGAGAUAAUGUGCCCGGCAAAGUUCUUUAGGAAUCGGGAUGAGCGGGAGGGUGAGGGAGUGAUCGUUUCCCUUCGUUUUCCUUAAACGUGACUUUAAGAGAUAAAUGGUGAAGUUUAUACCUUGGCCUGCUGGACAGCCGGUCCGCCCCAUGGCACGAAGCUCGGCAUCAAAGGGCCAAAUUAGACAUUCGACCGGGAGCCCUCGAAGCUGAGGAUGUUACCUUUGAAGGACACAUAUAAGCAACAACAAUCAAGGAGAAGUGUAAGGAAAUAAGCAAGGUGAUGCUGAAUGCGAUUGUGCAGAUGACCAUAUUCUUACCUGUCUGGACCAAGGGUAAUUUUGGCUCAGAACAGAAACAAUGAAAAUACAGAGGAAUUGCAUUUGGAUACUUCUUCCUGUCAAUCAUCUUUGCCAGAUUCCUAUUUGAACAUCCUGAAAAUGAGGAAGACAUCAGAUCUCGCCUUAAGGAAGUCUGAUACCCAGGAGAUGAUCCGAGUUUCAACUCUCUGUGGUGAAAAGAGGGUGAAGAGCAGCAGAAAAUCCAAUUCUCUUGACCUUCAGGACAUGGAGCAGAACUCAUCGCUUCCACCUGGCCUACCCAAAUUUUAUGUACACAGUGGAAGUUCACGCUCUCAGUUUAUCUAUCCCCAAGUCCUAGGCCACUUCCAGAGGAGUCUGAGAAGCAGGGAUCAAGUGCUUGGGAAGCCAGUCAGAACCUUCAGUGCAUGCCUUUUUCACCUGCUACAAUGCUUUAUUGAUCUAAAAUGUGAUUAAACAGUAAAUAAACUUUCCCAUUAAAAUAAAACA
RNAcentral lists this long non-coding RNA (1278 nucleotides) under Vulpes vulpes (red fox). Its description in RNAcentral is "lncRNA (ENSVVUG00000018530.1)". Lineage: Eukaryota; Metazoa; Chordata; Mammalia; Carnivora; Canidae. The record is from RNAcentral.